Molecule: unclassified non-coding RNA, 332 nt
Filed under: soil metagenome
Description: partial contains 5.8S ribosomal RNA, internal transcribed spacer 2, and large subunit ribosomal RNA
Rfam family: 5.8S ribosomal RNA (bases 1-120)
Source: RNAcentral
GAUGAAGAACGCAGCGAAAUGCGAUAAGUUAUGUGAAUUGCAGAAUUCAGUGAAUCAUCGAAUCUUUGAACGCACAUUGCGCCCGCUAGUAUUCUGGCGGGCAUGCCUGUUCGAGCGUCAUUUCAACCAUCAAGCCCUGUUUAGGCUUGUGUUGGGGCCCUGCGGUUGCCGCAGCCCCCCAAAUGCAGUGGCGGGCUCGUUGUCACUCCGAGCGCAGUAGCGUAUCUCGCUCUGGGCGUGGCGGCGGGUGCUAGCCGUGAAACACCCACUAAUGUUGACCUCGGAUCAGGUAGGACUACCCGCUGAACUUAAGCAUAUCAAUAAGCGGAGGA